RNAcentral lists this ribosomal RNA (467 nucleotides) under uncultured bacterium. Its description in RNAcentral is "partial 16S ribosomal RNA". It matches the Rfam family "Bacterial small subunit ribosomal RNA", at positions 28 to 507 of the family's 1533-position model. The record is from RNAcentral.
GACGAACGCUGGCGGCGUGCUUAACACAUGCAAGUCGAACGGAAAGGCCUCUUUCGGGGGGUACUCGAGUGGCGAACGGGUGAGUAACACGUGAGUAGCCUGCCCUUGACUUUGGGUUAACUUCGGGAAACUGGGGCUAAUACCGGAUAGUCGCUCCUGCUGCAUGGUGGGGGCUGGAAAGUUUCGGCGGUUGGGGAUGGACUCGCGGCUUAUCCGCUUGUUGGUGGGGUAGUGGCUUACCAAGGCUUUGACGGGUAGCCGGCCUGAGAGGGUGACCGGCCACAUUGGGACUGAGAGACGGCCCAGACUCCGACGGGAGGCAGCAGUGGGGAAUAUUGCACAAUGGGUGGAAGCCUGAUGCAGCAACGCCGUGUGCGGGAUGACGGCCUUCGUGUUGUAAACCGCUUUCGCUCAUGACGAAGCUUUGUGUGACGGUAGUGGGUAAAGAAGCACCGGCUAACUACGUG